Molecule: ribosomal RNA, 472 nt
Filed under: uncultured bacterium
Lineage: Bacteria
Description: partial 16S ribosomal RNA
Rfam family: Bacterial small subunit ribosomal RNA
Source: RNAcentral
GACGAACGCUGGCGGCGUGCUUAACACAUGCAAGUCGCACGGGACCCGCAAGGGUUCAGUGGCAAACGGGUGCGUAACACGUGAGGAACCUGUCCAACGGUGGGGGAUAGCCGGCCCAACGGCCGGGUAAUACCGCGUACGACCUUCGGGGGGCAUCCCCCGGGGGUGAAAGCAGCAAUGCGCCGAUGGAGGGCCUCGCGGCCUAUCAGCUAGUUGGUGAGGUCAUGGCUCACCAAGGCAACGACGGGUAGCUGGUCCGAGAGGAUGACCAGCCACAUUAGGACUGAGACACGGCCCAGACUCCUACGGGAGGCAGCAGUGGGGAAUCUUGCGCAAUGGGCGAAAGCCUGACGCAGCGACGCCGCGUGUGGGAUGAAGGUCUUCGGAUUGUAAACCACUGUCGGGAGGGACGAAGCUCUGACGGUACCUCCAAAGGAAGCACCGGCCAACUCUGUGCCAGCCGCCGCGGUAA